Molecule: ribosomal RNA, 426 nt
Filed under: uncultured cyanobacterium
Lineage: Bacteria; Bacillati; Cyanobacteriota
Description: bacterial SSU rRNA
Rfam family: Bacterial small subunit ribosomal RNA
Source: RNAcentral
UGGGGAAUUUUCCGCAAUGGGCGAAAGCCUGACGGAGCAAGACCGCGUGGGGGAAGAAGGCUCUUGGGUUGUAAACCCCUUUUCUCUGGGAAGAACGAAAUGACGGUACCAGAGGAAUCAGCAUCGGCUAACUCCGUGCCAGCAGCCGCGGUAAGACGGAGGAUGCAAGCGUUAUCCGGAAUGAUUGGGCGUAAAGCGUCCGCAGGUGGCAGUUCAAGUCUGCUGUCAAAGACCGGGGCUUAACUUCGGAAAGGCAGUGGAAACUGAACAGCUAGAGUAUGGUAGGGGCAAAGGGAAUUCCCGGUGUAGCGGUGAAAUGCGUAGAGAUCGGGAAGAACAUCGGUGGCGAAAGCGCUUUGCUGGACCAUAACUGACACUCAGGGACGAAAGCUAGGGGAGCGAAUGGGAUUAGAUACCCCAGUAGUC